UGAGGCGGUGCCUUACUCGACGUUUCGCCCGAUGUCUGAUAAAGCCAGGCUGUUAUCAGGAGUUGGACGGCAGGCACCUGUUUGUGCGUCAUUCGAUGUUUAUGUAGCGCGUCCCGAAGGGGCUGACAUAAGAAGGUGAAUGAGCCACU
Molecule: small RNA, 149 nt
Filed under: Klebsiella pneumoniae UHKPC57
Lineage: Bacteria; Pseudomonadati; Pseudomonadota; Gammaproteobacteria; Enterobacterales; Enterobacteriaceae
Also listed under: 1 other name
Description: tke1 RNA
Source: RNAcentral